UACGUAGGGGGCAAGCGUUGUCCGGAUUUAUUGGGCGUAAAGAGCGUGUAGGCGGCCAUACAGGUCCGUUGUGAAAACUGGAGGCUUAACCUCCAGACGUCGAUGGAAACCGUAUGGCUAGAGUCCGGAAGAGGAGAGCGGAAUUCCUGGUGUAGCGGUGAAAUGCGCAGAUAUCAGGAAGAACACCCGUGGCGAAGGCGGCUCUCUGGGACGGUACUGACGCUGAGACGCGAAAGCGUGGGGAGCAAACAGG
This 253-nucleotide ribosomal RNA is filed under the name uncultured bacterium. RNAcentral describes it as "partial 16S ribosomal RNA". It matches the Rfam family "Bacterial small subunit ribosomal RNA", at positions 524 to 776 of the family's 1533-position model. The record is from RNAcentral.